This is a long non-coding RNA of Lingula anatina, 722 nucleotides long. The record is from RefSeq and is a predicted model, not a curated record. NCBI's taxonomy places the organism in Eukaryota, Metazoa, Brachiopoda, Lingulata, Lingulida, Lingulidae.
ACUGACGUCACUUCCUAUUCCGGCUUGUCUCAUGACUGCUUCAAAAUGGUAAACCACGAAAAUAUCGCAAUUCCUUUAGCUGUUGUGUCUGGAUUUUGGUUCUUAGUAGGAGUUGUAGCACCAUGGUUUGUACCAAAGGGAGAAAAUAGGGGAGUUAUCAGAUUGAUGCUUGUCCUCACAGCUUUUUGUUGCUGGUUUUUCUGGUUUAUCACAUGGGCAUUUCAACUCAAUCCAUUGUUGGGACCCCUGAUUAAAGGAGAUGAAGCGUAUCAUAUUUCACAAAGGUGGAAGUGAUAGAACAGGUGCCCUUCAACACAGCUGCACCUCUGAUCAGGGGUAGUUCGAGAUGUAAUUAAUACUUUUGUAAAUAUGAAUAUAAAUGAUCAUUGUGGACUGAUGAUGUUGGACCUGGAUUUUAUGUAGAAAAAGAUGGAAGAAAGAUUGUUCACAUUUGCUCCAGAGUUGGCUUUAUGAAGACUAAGGAUGUUGUUUAGAAAUGAUAAUAGAUAUCGAUUUCUUCAUGACUGGAAGGAAGUUGAUUUAGAUGGACAAGCUGCAUAAAGCUGGACAAUGAAUUACUACCUAGAUUUGUUGAGAGCAGUUUUCUAGUACAUAGUUUUCUGUCACGUCUUUAUGUGCAAUAUAAGUUGUGAGGGACAUGUCCUUUUGUAAAUGUACGUCUUGUAUUUAGGAGGGAAUAAAACAUCUUUACAACAUGUGUA